GGAAGGAUCAUUAUUGAAUUUU
Molecule: ribosomal RNA, 22 nt
Filed under: Rhizoctonia solani
Lineage: Eukaryota; Fungi; Basidiomycota; Agaricomycetes; Cantharellales; Ceratobasidiaceae
Description: partial 18S ribosomal RNA
Source: RNAcentral